Molecule: ribosomal RNA, 396 nt
Filed under: uncultured bacterium
Lineage: Bacteria
Description: partial 16S ribosomal RNA
Rfam family: Bacterial small subunit ribosomal RNA
Source: RNAcentral
AUACGAAGGGUGCAAGCGUUAAUCGGAAUUACUGGGCGUAAAGCGCGCGUAGGUGGUUUUGUAAGUUGGAGGUGAAAGCCCCGGGCUCAACCUGGGAAUUGCCUCCAAAACUGCAUGACUAGAGUACGGUAGAGGGUAGUGGAAUUUCCUGUGUAGCGGUGAAAUGCGUAGAUAUAGGAAGGAACACCAGUGGCGAAGGCGACUACCUGGACUGAUACUGACACUGAGGUGCGAAAGCGGGGGGAGCAAACAGGAUUAGAUACCCUGUUAGUCCACGCCGUAAACGAUGUCAACUAGCCGUUGGGAUCCUUGAGAUCUUAGUGGCGCAGCUAACGCAUUAAGUUGACCGCCUGGGGAGUACGGCCGCAAGGUUAAAACUCAAAUGAAUUGACGGGG